Molecule: non-coding RNA, 46 nt
Filed under: Schistosoma curassoni
Lineage: Eukaryota; Metazoa; Platyhelminthes; Trematoda; Strigeidida; Schistosomatidae
Source: RNAcentral
GCACUACUGAGGAGUCCCAUACCAGGACGAAACGGCCGUCAAGUGC